Long non-coding RNA from Rhododendron vialii, 3375 nucleotides. RefSeq lists it as uncharacterized. Lineage: Eukaryota; Viridiplantae; Streptophyta; Magnoliopsida; Ericales; Ericaceae. The transcript has 10 exons. The record is from RefSeq and is a predicted model, not a curated record.
CUCUAAGAAUUCUAGAUUUAUCAUUGUUCGUCACUCAACGGAUGCACGGAAGGAGAACACAAUUCUUAUAUGGUCUGAUUUUUUUUUGAACAGCAUUAUAUGUUCUGAAUUUUCCUGAGGUUUUUCUCAAUAUGGUUUCUAUUUUUGUAAUAACUAAAUUUAACUAAAAGUAAAGAGACAGGUGUACAGGAUGUUUACCUUUUUCAUUCCUUCGCGGCAAAAAAAGUGAAAACAGUGUAUGGAAAGUAAGUGCCCAUAAACUAUAAACAGACUUAAUGUACCAGAGGCUCUGGGCCCAAUGGAAAUUAACACAUGCUUACUUCGACAACUGGAAAUUUCUUUGCCCCUUUCAACAUCCAGCCAAGAAAGGAGAAAUUAUCACUUAAUGAAUUUUAUUGGAUUGCCUUUUUUUUUUCUUUUUUUUUUGUCUCCCCUUCUGUUUUGUCUCCCAUAAUUUUGAAUAUACCUUUUCAAAAGAGGAUUCCGAACUACUUCAGUCUACCUCCUGUCAAACUUCUUCAGUCGUUAUAUGGUGAAUGGGAUAAAUCCUUUCCAAUAUCACACCCCUUCUGGCCUUGACAUUGUUUUGCUUUUACAUCCAUCCUCAGAAUUUUAGUGGAUAUUCCCAGUAGAUCUGAAGUUUCAGAUCACCUAUUCCAUGAAGUUGUGUUAUGGAGUUUACUUCUUACCAGUUGCUCUGCUGCCUUAUUUGCUUGUUAUCAUCUUCGAAUUUUAGCUUCACUGUUGGUACAAAGGGGACAAUUGCAAUAUCAAGGUUUUUUGCCCUUGUGUGCUUUGCCCGUAGAAUAUUGACUUCAGAUCUUCUUCAGAAAUGGCGGAAAUGCACUGUAAGAACCUUCAACUUUCAAAGGACUUGGAUGUGCAAGAGAGUAUGCAUGGUGAAGAACUUCUGCCUAUGGUGGCUAACAUUUUGGUUCAGUUGUUCUAGCGAACUAAGGACCUUGGCUAUUUGGUGGAGUUAGUUAUGGUUAUGGAGUUCGGGUUAACUAUACGAAGAAAGGCAUUUGGAGGUUGAGCCACAAUCGCCGACACCGACGCCGACCACAUACUGCAGCAGAUCCUCCGAAAACGACACCACAUCUCCAAGUUCACCGACGCAUUCUCACUCUCGAGGAUUACCACCAGUGCUCAACCUCCAAUCGGCUCUCAGAUCUGUUUUCUGAAACAAAAGUACAAAACCCUAACCUAAAGGCAUUAAUUGAGAGGCCAGCAACCAUGACCAUCUUUACAUAAUUUCUGCUUUAGGGAUAAAAGUGUUGAACCGGCUGUUUGACUCCUUAAAAGAGUAAUGCAAAAUUGAUUCUUGCUUAGAAGUUUAAUCUGCUUGGGUAAAGUCAGUGUUAUUGUGCAGGGAGUUGGUGUUGGACUAAAGACGAAAACAAUUUUGGGUUAAAGCAAAGUUGUAAUUUCCCUGGUUCGGUGAGUUGAAGAUGAGAGCCUCGUUGGAGCUAUUUAUAUGGUAAUCUUUCUGCCAUCAAAUAAAGUUGUGGUCAUCCAAGAACAAGUUAUAAUAGGUAUCAUUUGGUGACUGUGGGGAGCCCUAAUAGCGUGCGGGUUACUGGACCUAUUUGGAGCCCAAGCAAGAUUUUUCGCAACCUUUCGAGUUGCAUUGUGAUGCAUCUAAGGUUGGAAUUGGGGCUGUCCUUAACCAAAGUUCCAAGCCCCGUGGCUUAUUUUAGUGAGAAGCUGAAUGGGGGAAAGUUAAAUAUGAUGUGGAGUUCUAUGCUUUGGUUCAAGCGUUGAAGCACUGGUAUCAUUAUCUCAUUCGUAGCGACUUCAUAUUAUAUUCUAAUCACGAGACAUUGAAGCAUCUCAAUUUGCAAGAUAAGCUUUCCAGUAGGCAUGCUAAAUGGGCCACAUAAGCGCAACAGUUCUCUUUCACUAUCAAGCACAAGUCUGGUGCUUUUAAUAGAGUAGUUGAUGCCCUCAAUCGCUGCGCCAACUUUCUCACAGUUAUGUGGAGUAAGAUAAUGGGUUUUGAUACUUUUCGUGAGUUAUUAUUGGUUGAGUCGUAUUUCUCUACGGUGCUCAAGAAGAUUGCAGGUGACGAUCAAUCUGAAUUCCGUGAGCAAUGGGGAGUUUGUUUAAAGGGAAUGCAUUGUGCGUUCCGGAUUCCAGUCUUCAUUUGAAGAUUAUUAAGGGGCUACAUGAUGAAGGGCAUGUGGGUCGUGACAAGACUUAUGCGUUGGUGUCAGCUUCUUAUUUUUGGCCAACUUUACGGAAAGAUGUGUACAAGUUUGUGGGAAGCUGUCAUACACGCCAAGUUUCCAAAGGUACAGUGACAAAUGCGGGGUUAUAACUGUAACUGCCCAUUCCAUCUCAGCCAUGGGCCGAUGUCAGUAUGGACUUCGUGUUGGGAUUGCCGCGUAGCCAGCAUGGCAACGAUUCUGUUUUUGUGGUGGUGAAUCGGUUCUCCAAGAUGGCCCACUUUAUUGCUUGCAUGAAGACAACAGAUGCAAUCAAGAUUGUCUAUGGUUUCAAUCCACGUGCUCCGGUUGAUUUGGUUCCUAUUCCUGAUCUGAAGCGAGCCAAUGGUAAAGCUGACGAGUUUAUAAGCGGUUUGCAGCAAAUUCGCAAGGACACUCAAUAGCGCUUGCAACGUACUACUGCAAAGUAUAAAGAGGCGGCGGACAAGAAGUGCAGGUUUGUGGAGUUUUGUGGUUGGUGAUUUGGUUUAUGCCAUUCUUACCAAAGACCGAUUUCCAAAGGGGGAGUAUAACAAGCUCAAGGCUCGUAAGAUUGGUCCUUUGGAGAUUCACGAGAAGAUCAAUCCGAAUGCCUACCGUUUGAAACUUUCCAGCCAUAUUCUUAUAACCGAUGUGUUCAAUGUCAAGCAUCUGGUUCCAUUCCAGGGUGAUAGUUCAUCUUAUGACGAUGCAAAUUUAGAGGCGAAUUUCUUUCUAGAUUGGGAGGAUGAUGUAGUUGCCAUGGAAGAGGAGUACCACUUCAGGCAUUUUAAAGCCUAGAGUGGCAAAAAUGUAAAUCUGCGACGAUGGAAUUACGAGUCGGGCCCACCUAUGUUCGAUCUGAAACAGGCCAACAGUCAGGACACAUCGCCUUUUGGCCAUGUGCCGGGUGUUUUUUAGCUGUCCGAGGCCGUUUAAGACUCCGAAAGGGCAAUUUUGUCGUUUUAGGAAAUAAUUGUUUUGUUUAUAACUUUUAGUAGGAAUUUUCAUUUCAAUUCGUUCUUUUUGGAGAAGUCUUAGUUUUUCCUCUGUUUUCUGAAUUUGUAAUAAUUUUGGUUUUUUCCGAAAUUGGUAUUUCUUUCGCUUUUCAAGGGUUAGGGUUUGUUACCUAUAUAAUAGUAAGUUGUAAGCCUUAAGGCUAAACAGUUUUUGAUUAUUAUUGAAUGAA